This 502-nucleotide ribosomal RNA is filed under the name uncultured bacterium. Its description in RNAcentral is "partial 16S ribosomal RNA". It matches the Rfam family "Bacterial small subunit ribosomal RNA", at positions 28 to 507 of the family's 1533-position model. The record is from RNAcentral.
GACGAACGCUGGCGGCGUGCUUAACACAUGCAAGUCGAACGGUGAAGGGGUCUGCUUUUGUGGGCCCUGGAUGAGUGGCGAACGGGUGAGUAACACGUGAGUAACCUGCCCCCUUCUUCUGGAUAACCGCAUGAAAGUGUGGCUAAUACGGGAUAUUCUGGGUCUGUCGCAUGAUGGGUCUGGGAAAGAUUGCGCCUUUGGGUGUUUUUGGUGGGGGAUGGGCUCGCGGCCUAUCAGCUUGUUGGUGGGGUGAUGGCCUACCAAGGCGGUGACGGGUAGCCGGCCUGAGAGGGUGGACGGUCACACUGGGACUGAGACACGGCCCAGACUCCUACGGGAGGCAGCAGUGGGGAAGAUUGCACAAUGGGAGCAAGCCUGAUGCAGCGACGCCGCGUGAGGGAUGGAGGCCUUCGGGUUGUAAACCUCUUUCGCCAGUGAAGCAGGCCUGCUCCGUGUGGGUGGGUUGACGGUAGCUGGAUAAGAAGCGCCGGCUAACUACGUG